GACCCUACGCAGUGCACCCCUCUGAAAGAGACAUAGCACUCGGGGCCCCCAGCAUCCCUCCUCCCAAAGUUAGCCUAAUUUUUUCCCUUCCGUGGAUUCAGGUCAUUGCUCCCCGUCCUCGUCCUCUCUCCCAGGCGCCUCGGAAUGUGACUAAUUCCCUCCCUUCAUUUACGGCUCCUGUUACCUGGGAGGUAUUUAUAGCUCUUCGGCCUGUCUCCCUCUCCUGCGACUCAGCUGCAACUCCCCCAGGCCGACUCUCCCCACUCGACCAUCUUUGCCUCCCUUCUCAGGUCUGUCACCUCUUACCCAGCCUCCCACCUUGCAACCUCCCUGACAGGAUAGAGUGGGGCUGGCUGCGAGGGGCCAGGGCCUUUUGGAAGACAGGGAGGCUAUCUGCCAGACAUAUGCCCCUCCCUUCAUGAGCACCCCCAGAAACCCGGGGGCCAGAGAAAGGUGACUGUCUCCUCUCUGUUACCUCAACAUGCAGUCUGAUACUAAUACCAAUAGCAAGCAA
Molecule: long non-coding RNA, 514 nt
Filed under: Rattus norvegicus (Norway rat)
Lineage: Eukaryota; Metazoa; Chordata; Mammalia; Rodentia; Muridae
Description: long non-coding RNA NONRATT013749
Source: RNAcentral